UGGGGAAUAUUGCACAAUGGGCGCAAGCCUGAUGCAGCCAUGCCGCGUGUGUGAAGAAGGCCUUCGGGUUGUAAAGCACUUUCAGCGAGGAGGAAAGGUUGACGGUUAAUACCCGUCAGCUGUGACGUUACUCGCAGAAGAAGCACCGGCUAACUCCGUGCCAGCAGCCGCGGUAAUACGGAGGGUGCGAGCGUUAAUCGGAAUUACUGGGCGUAAAGCGCAUGCAGGCGGUCUGGUCAGUCAGAUGUGAAAGCCCCGGGCUUAACCUGGGAACUGCAUUUGAUACUGCCAGACUAGAGUCCUUGAGAGGGGGGUAGAAUUUCAGGUGUAGCGGUGAAAUGCGUAGAGAUCUGAAGGAAUACCAGUGGCGAAGGCGGCCCCCUGGCAAGAGACUGACGCUCAGAUGCGAAAGCGUGGGGAGCAAACAGGAUUAGAUACCCCCGUAGUCC
Molecule: ribosomal RNA, 449 nt
Filed under: uncultured prokaryote
Description: bacterial SSU rRNA
Rfam family: Bacterial small subunit ribosomal RNA
Source: RNAcentral